CCCUAUCGCCGAUUCCCUUGAGUUGAUCAUGGCUCAGAGCGAACGCUGGCGGCAGGCUUAACACAUGCAAGUCGAGCGGGCGUAGCAAUACGUCAGCGGCAGACGGGUGAGUAACGCGUGGGAACGUACCUUUUGGUUCGGAACAACACAGGGAAACUUGUGCUAAUACCGGAUAAGCCCUUACGGGGAAAGAUUUAUCGCCGAAAGAUCGGCCCGCGUCUGAUUAGCUAGUUGGUGAGGUAAUGGCUCACCAAGGCGACGAUCAGUAGCUGGUCUGAGAGGAUGAUCAGCCACAUUGGGACUGAGACACGGCCCAAACUCCUACGGGAGGCAGCAGUGGGGAAUAUUGGACAAUGGGCGCAAGCCUGAUCCAGCCAUGCCGCGUGAGUGAUGAAGGCCCUAGGGUUGUAAAGCUCUUUUGUGCGGGAAGAUAAUGACGGUACCGCAAGAAUAAGCCCCGGCUAACUUCGUGCCAGCAGCCGCGGUAAUACGAAGGGGGCUAGCGUUGCUCGGAAUCACUGGGCGUAAAGGGUGCGUAGGCGGGUCUUUAAGUCAGGGGUGAAAUCCUGGAGCUCAACUCCAGAACUGCCUUUGAUACUGAAGAUCUUGAGUUCGGGAGAGGUGAGUGGAACUGCGAGUGUAGAGGUGAAAUUCGUAGAUAUUCGCAAGAACACCAGUGGCGAAGGCGGCUCACUGGCCCGAUACUGACGCUGAAGCACGAAAGCGUGGGGAGCAACAGGAUUAGAUACC
This 750-nucleotide ribosomal RNA is filed under the name uncultured bacterium. Its description in RNAcentral is "bacterial SSU rRNA". It matches the Rfam family "Bacterial small subunit ribosomal RNA", at positions 1 to 786 of the family's 1533-position model. The record is from RNAcentral.